RNAcentral lists this ribosomal RNA (565 nucleotides) under uncultured bacterium. RNAcentral's name for it is "bacterial SSU rRNA". It matches the Rfam family "Bacterial small subunit ribosomal RNA", at positions 339 to 917 of the family's 1533-position model. The record is from RNAcentral.
CUACGGGAGGCAGCAGUGGGGAAUCUUGCACAAUGGGCGAAAGCCUGAUGCAGCAACGCCGCGUGCGGGAAGAAGGCCCUAGGGCUGUAAACCGCUUUCAGUAGGGAAGAAAAUGACGGUACCUACAGAAGAAGGACCGGCCAACUACGUGCCAGCAGCCGCGGUAAUACGUAGGGUCCGAGCGUUAUCCGGAAUCAUUGGGCGUAAAGAGCUCGUAGGCGGUUCAGCAAGUCGGCUGUGAAAGUUCGAGGCUCAACCUCGAAAUUGCAGUCGAUACUACUGUGACUCGAGUCCGGUAGAGGAGAAUGGAAUUCCCGGUGUAGCGGUGAAAUGCGCAGAUAUCGGGAGGAACACCAGUAGCGAAGGCGGUUCUCUGGGCCGGCACUGACGCUGAGGAGCGAAAGCGUGGGGAGCAGACAGGAUUAGAUACCCUGGUAGUCCACGCCGUAAACGUUGGAUACUAGGUGUGGCGUCCCGAUUAACGGUCGCCGUGCCGAAGCUAACGCAUUAAGUAUCCCGCCUGGGGAGUACGGCCGCAAGGCUAAAACUCAAAGGAAUUGACGGA